UGGUUAACCUACUCUGAACACACCUGAUCUUGGAAGCUAAGCAGUGUCAGGCCCAGUUAGUUCUUGGAUGAAUGAAGGUUGCUACACAUU
This 90-nucleotide ribosomal RNA is filed under the name Nannospalax galili (Upper Galilee mountains blind mole rat). The record is from RNAcentral. Lineage: Eukaryota; Metazoa; Chordata; Mammalia; Rodentia; Spalacidae.